GUGCCAGCCGCCGCGGUAAGACAGAGGUCCCAAGCGUUAGGCGGAAUCACUGGGCUUAAAGCGUGUGUAGGCGGAUUUGUAAGUACCUUGUGAAAUCCCACGGCUCAACCGUGGAACUGCUUGGUAUACUGCUUAUCUUGGGCCAUCUAGGGGCGAGCGGAACAAACGGUGGAGCGGUGAAAUGCGUAGAUAUCGUUUGGAACGCCAAUGGUGAAAACAGCUCGCUGGGGAUGUGCCGACGCUGAGACACGAAAGCCAGGGGAGCGAACGGGAUUAGAAACCCCCGUAGUCC
RNAcentral lists this ribosomal RNA (292 nucleotides) under uncultured bacterium. Its description in RNAcentral is "partial 16S ribosomal RNA". It matches the Rfam family "Bacterial small subunit ribosomal RNA", at positions 505 to 796 of the family's 1533-position model. The record is from RNAcentral.